AACGCACAUUGCGCCCCUUGGUAUUCCGAGGGGCAUGCCUGUUCGAGCGUCAUUACACCACUCAAGCUAUGCUUGGUAUUGGGCGUCGUCCUUAGUUGGGCGCGCCUCAAAGACCUCGGCGAGGCCACUCCGGCUUUAGGCGUAGUAGAAUUUAUUCGAACGUCUGUCAAAGGAGAGGAACUCUGCCGACUGAAACCUUUAUUUUUCUAGGUUGACCUCGGAUCAGGUAGGGAUACCCGCUGAACUUAA
Molecule: unclassified non-coding RNA, 249 nt
Filed under: uncultured Aureobasidium
Lineage: Eukaryota; Fungi; Ascomycota; Dothideomycetes; Dothideales; Dothioraceae
Description: sequence contains ITS2
Rfam family: 5.8S ribosomal RNA (bases 1-52)
Source: RNAcentral